Molecule: long non-coding RNA, 723 nt
Organism: Agelaius phoeniceus (red-winged blackbird)
Lineage: Eukaryota; Metazoa; Chordata; Aves; Passeriformes; Icteridae
Source: RefSeq, a predicted model, not a curated record
GGGGCUGCGUGUCCCGACCCCGAGGGCUGCGUGUCCCGUCAGGCCCCGCAGCGGGCCCGGCCGCGGCCCGAACCGGAGCGCGGUCGGGAGAGGCGCUCACGGGAGGCGGGAGCGGCGGGGAUCGGGGCUCACGUCACUUGGGCGGCCGAGAUCGGUGCGGAUCGGGCUGGGCGGUGACUCGGGAGCUCUGCGGUCAGGCACUGGCUUGGGCAAUGGCGUGGCGAGGCUGUGGGGCACAGCCAGGGCUUUAACAGGCCUGGGAAAGCGGGGAACGACUGACGAGCUACAGCGAUAGCGGAAUAGCGCUGAGGCGUUGUUCGUGCCUCUGGGAACACGGGCCGUGGAGCUGCGGGAAGGACGCACCAGAGGCAUCCAGAGGAAAGUUACACUCUGGCAGUGUUGUCUCCAAAGGCUUCUGAAUGGCUCCGGUUAAAAUCAGCUGUGUGGUGUCUUUCUCCACCCAGGGAACUACAGCUGUGCCUUUCUGCAGUCUGAGGUGGGAUGCUCCUCAUGGCCCUGCGACCAGCCCUGUCACACCUCGGUGCCCACUGAUGACACCAGCUGACUCAAAGCUGGACCAGAAUCACUGCAGGGUUCAGAGGUUUUAGGAAGGUAAGGAUUGAUCCAAAGGAAAAAGGCAUGGGGAAGAGCUGUGGGCCUGGUCAUGGCAUGGAGCUGAUAUGGAGGGAUGGUGAUGGAAUGGGGCUGGCAGUAGGAUGUGGC